RNAcentral lists this ribosomal RNA (554 nucleotides) under uncultured bacterium. Its description in RNAcentral is "bacterial SSU rRNA". It matches the Rfam family "Bacterial small subunit ribosomal RNA", at positions 47 to 580 of the family's 1533-position model. The record is from RNAcentral.
CCUAAUACAUGCAAUGUCUGAGCGAACCGAUAAGAAGCUUGCUUUUUGUUGGUUAGCGGCGGACGGGUGAGUAACACGUGGGUAACCUGCCUGUAAGACCGGGAUAACUCCGGGAAACCGGUGCUAAUACCGGAUAGAUUAUCUUUCCGCCUGGAGAGAUAAGGAAAGAUGGCCAUUGCCAUCACUUACAGAUGGGCCCGCGGCGCAUUAGCUAGUUGGUGAGGUAACGGCUCACCAAGGCGACGAUGCGUAGCCGACCUGAGAGGGUGAUCGGCCACACUGGGACUGAGACACGGCCCAGACUCCUACGGGAGGCAGCAGUAGGGAAUCUUCCGCAACGGACGAAAGUCUGACGGAGCAACGCCGCGUGAGCGAAGAAGGUCUUCGGAUCGUAAAGCUCUGUUGUUAGGGAAGAACAAGUAUCGGAGGAAAUGCCGGUACCUUGACGGUACCUGACGAGAAAGCCACGGCUAACUACGUGCCAGCAGCCGCGGUAAUACGUAGGUGGCAAGCGUUGUCCGGAAUUAUUGGGCGUAAAGCGCGCGCAGGCGGUC